GACGAACGCUGGCGGCGUGCCUAAUACAUGCAAGUAGAACGCACAGUUUAUACCGUAGCUUGCUACACCAUAAACUGUGAGUUGCGAACGGGUGAGUAACGCGUAGGUAACCUGCCUGGUAGCGGGGGAUAACUAUUGGAAACGAUAGCUAAUACCGCAUAAUAUUGAUUAUUGCAUGAUAAUUGAUUGAAAGAUGCUAUUGCAUCACUACCAGAUGGACCUGCGUUGUAUUAGCUAGUAGGGGAGGUAACGGCUCACCCAGGCGACGAUACAUAGCCGACCUGAGAGGGUGAUCGGCCACACUGGGACUGAGACACGGCCCCGACUCCUGCGGGAGGCAGCAGUAGGGAAUCGUCGGCAAUGGACGAAAGUCUGAACGAGCAACGCCGCGUGGGGGAAGAAGGUUUUCGGAUCGUAAAGCUCUGUUGUUAGAGAAGAACAGGUGUGAGAGUGGAAAGUACACACUGUGACGGUAUCUUACCAGAAAGGGACGGCUAACUACGUG
This 505-nucleotide ribosomal RNA is filed under the name uncultured bacterium. RNAcentral describes it as "partial 16S ribosomal RNA". It matches the Rfam family "Bacterial small subunit ribosomal RNA", at positions 28 to 507 of the family's 1533-position model. The record is from RNAcentral.